Molecule: ribosomal RNA, 386 nt
Filed under: uncultured bacterium
Lineage: Bacteria
Description: bacterial SSU rRNA
Rfam family: Bacterial small subunit ribosomal RNA
Source: RNAcentral
AUUGAACGCUGGCGGAAUGCUUUACACAUGCAAGUCGAGCGGCAGCGCGGGGGCAACCCUGGCGGCGAGCGGCGAACGGGUGAGUAACGCAUCGGAACGUACCUUGUAGUGGGGGAUAACUAUCCGAAAGGAUAGCUAAUACCGCAUACGCCCUGAGGGGGAAAGGGGGGGAUCGCAAGACCUCUCGCUACAGGAGCGGCCGAUGUCCGAUUAGCUAGUUGGUGAGGUAAAGGCUCACCAAGGCGACGAUCGGUAGCUGGUCUGAGAGGAUGAUCAGCCACACUGGGACUGAGACACGGCCCAGACUCCUACGGGAGGCAGCAGUGGGGAAUUUUGGACAAUGGGGGCAACCCUGAUCCAGCCAUUCCGCGUGAGUGAAGAAGGCC